ACGUAGGGGGCAAGCGUUAUCCGGAUUUACUGGGUGUAAAGGGAGCGUAGACGGCAUAGCAAGUCUGAAGUGAAAGCCCAAGGCUCAACCAUGGGACUGCUUUGGAAACUGUUAAGCUAGAGUGCUGGAGAGGUAAGCGGAAUUCCUAGUGUAGCGGUGAAAUGCGUAGAUAUUAGGAAGAACACCAGUGGCGAAGGCGGCUUACUGGACAGUAACUGACGUUGAGGCUCGAAAGCGUGGGGAGCAAA
RNAcentral lists this ribosomal RNA (248 nucleotides) under uncultured bacterium. RNAcentral's name for it is "partial 16S ribosomal RNA". It matches the Rfam family "Bacterial small subunit ribosomal RNA", at positions 525 to 772 of the family's 1533-position model. The record is from RNAcentral.